Molecule: unclassified non-coding RNA, 885 nt
Filed under: Hevea brasiliensis (rubber tree)
Lineage: Eukaryota; Viridiplantae; Streptophyta; Magnoliopsida; Malpighiales; Euphorbiaceae
Source: RNAcentral
GGAGCAUUCCAAGGAGAAGAAGUGAAACGGAAAAUAAAGACCAGUUUUGUAUACGCUCCUUGUGGUCCUGUAUGUGAGCAAGAACAUGACCGCACUGAAGUCCAAUUAUGCAGGUCACUGCAGCUGUUAAGGAGCUUAAAAGACCUUCAGGAUCGAAAGGAGCAUGACACCAUGAAGGUGAACUUUCUGAAACUUGGCUGUUUGUCAUAUUACAUUCCUUCAGGUUUCUGUACACAGGUUUUGCAUAUAGAUGGUCAAUACCAAGAACAUAGCGAUCAAUCAUUCCAGCUGAAUUACAAGCUGGUCCAAGAUCACCUCUUACAGAACAUUUCACCAUGUAAGCAUAGCUGCCAUUGAUUGGAAGCAUAGAAGAAGUUGGACUUGAUAUUUCAAAUCUCCAAUCAGGAACAUAUAAACCAUAUACUAAUCCCAGAUACAUUGCUGACAAUGAAAAUGCCAAAAUCCAGUGCCAAUAAUAACUCUUGAAGAAACCUACUUCCCUGUGUGUUCGACGUGACAGCCAGAUCUCACAUAAAGCCGCAACAAUGUAGCCAAUAGAUAUUCUCUGCAAAAUGCCCAGCCAACGUAUUCUUUCAAUGUCAACACCAUAGGUCAAAGAAUUUAUCCCAUGAAAAUAACCACCUUGAAGAAAAACACCCAGCAAAAAUAGUUUUACUGCCCUUAGCACUGCCUUCCGUGUGGCAUCUACUCUGUUUGAUACUUUCUUAUAGACAAGAGCCAGAGAAACUCCAGCUACGAAAAGAAAGAAAGGCAUCACAAUAUCUGCCAAGCGAAGGCCGUUCCAAGGAGAAUGAGCAAUAAUUGGGAAAAUCGAACCCACAUAAUCAACAAGCAUCAUUAGAAAGACACAGAGGCCGCGAAAGA